GAUCAUUACCGAGUGCGGGUCCUUUGGGCCCAACCUCCCAUCCGUGUCUAUUGUACCCUGUUGCUUCGGCGGGCCCGCCGCUUGUCGGCCGCCGGGGGGGCGCCUCUGCCCCCCGGGCCCGUGCCCGCCGGAGACCCCAACACGAACCCUGUCUGAAAGCGUGCAGUCUGAGUCGAUUGUUUGCAAUCAGUUAAAACUUUCAACAAUGGAUCUCUUGGUUCCGGCAUCGAUGAAGAACGCAGCGAAAUGCGAUAACUAAUGUGAAUUGCAGAAUUCAGUGAAUCAUCGAGUCUUUGAACGCACAUUGCGCCCCCUGGUAUUCCGGGGGGCAUGCCUGUCCGAGCGUCAUUGCUGCCCUCAAGCCCGGCUUGUGUGUUGGGUCGCCGUCCCCUCUCUCCGGGGGGACGGGCCCGAAAGGCAGCGGCGGCACCGCGUCCGAUCCUCGAGCGUAUGGGGCUUUGUCACAUGCUCUGUAGGAUUGGCCGGCGCCUGCCGACGUUUUCCAACCAUUCUUUCCAGGUUGACCUCGGAUCAGGUAGGGAUACCCGCUGAACUUAAGCAUAUCAAUAA
RNAcentral lists this unclassified non-coding RNA (570 nucleotides) under Aspergillus brasiliensis. RNAcentral describes it as "sequence contains 18S rRNA gene, ITS1, 5.8S rRNA gene, ITS2, 28S rRNA gene". The stretch from base 195 to 348 matches the Rfam family "5.8S ribosomal RNA". Lineage: Eukaryota; Fungi; Ascomycota; Eurotiomycetes; Eurotiales; Aspergillaceae. The record is from RNAcentral.